Molecule: long non-coding RNA, 1130 nt
Organism: Pomacea canaliculata
Lineage: Eukaryota; Metazoa; Mollusca; Gastropoda; Architaenioglossa; Ampullariidae
Exons: 3
Source: RefSeq, a predicted model, not a curated record
UGGCACACGGGGAGGCAAAGAACAAUGCCUGGCCAUCGGGCAUUAAGGAAAACGGUCUGUGCCUCAUCAGCAUUUUUAAGGCUCGUAAAAAUCCUCCACAAGCCAAAAGUGGGUGGUAUAAAACGAGAGACAGAGAGCCUCGUCUAGGACUACGCCUUUCGGACUCUGGAGCCGACGUACAGACGCGCGAAGUCCCACGAAAAGACAAUGCUGAAUCUGCUCGUCUUCUCUGCCCUCGUGGCGUGCGCUCUUGCUGGCAACCUCUACGGUCCCUACGGUGCCGGCUACGGUGUGGGCUACGGAGCUGGCUAUGGUCCUGGCUAUGGUGCUGGCUAUGGUGCUGGCUAUGGUCCUGGCUAUGGUGUAGGCUAUGGUGUAGGCUACGCCCCAGCCGUCCUAAAGGCUUCCCUCCGUCUACCCCGUGCUCGCUGGACCCAAGGCACUGGGCGCAGUCCUUCGCUCUGCUUCCGCUGUGGCCUCAGCUUCCGGUGUUGCUGACAGCAUCUCUGCUGUUCCCAGCAUCGGCGCCACCCGCGCUGCCCCAGGCAUCAGUGGAGCCAACCUCCUCCGUCCAGGACCCAUCGUGGCUGCAGCUCCAGUGGUCGGAGUGGCUUCUGGCUAUGGUGGCAAAGGCGUUGUACGGCUACGACAAAAUCUAUGGUUAGGAAGCGUCCAGGGUAAGUCCUCCUCCCGGAAGAUCAUCCCAAGCACGAGGACCUCAGGCAGAAUACUGGUGAUUCGUUGUCUGUCCAAGACUGCUUACAUACCAGAAAGAAAAAACAAAAGACUUGUAAUUUGUUUUCUUAUGUCUUUUUUUAUACACGGAACAAAUGUUUUCUUUCUACCUCCCAUGCUUUCCUAAACAACUGACACAAAAAAAGAGACUUUCUGUUGCUGAUUGAAUGACUUUCAAUAUUUUAACUAUUUACUUUGAAUCCAAUGAGGUCGGGAAAGAAAAGCUAGAAGUCGUUGCACGUAAAGUGUCAGAGUCACGAGACAACUGCUGGAAAAGUGAAAAAUACAGGGACCUGAACAGGAAGGGGGAAAACCGCGUUCUUUCUUGUCGUUUGUUUGUGAUUCCUGAAGUAAGAAUUAUAACAAUAAGAAUAUAAAAAGUUGUGUUUGCAAAA